GACGAACGCUGGCGGCGUGCUUAACACAUGCAAGUCGAACGGAAAGGCCCUGCUUUUGUGGGGUGCUCGAUUGGCGAACGGGUGAGUAACACGUGAGUAACCUGCCCUUGACUUUGGGAUAACUUCACGAAACUGGGGCUAAUACCGGAUAGGAUCUCCUGCUGCAUGGUGGGGGUUGGAAAGUUUCGGCGGUUGGGGAUGGACUCGCGGCUUAUCAGCUUGUUGGUGGGGUAGGUGUUUACCCAGGCUUUGACGGGUACCCGGCCUGAGAGGGUGGCCGGCCACAUGGGGCCUGAGGUACGGAGCAGACGGCUACGGGAGGCAGUAGUGGGGAACAUUGCACAAUGGGCGGAAGUGUGAGGAAGAAACGCCGCGGGCGGGAUGACGGCCUUCGGGGUAUAAACCGCUUUCGCCUGUGACGAAGCGUUAGUGACGGUAAUGGGUAAAGAAGCACCGGCUAACUACGUG
RNAcentral lists this ribosomal RNA (468 nucleotides) under uncultured bacterium. Its description in RNAcentral is "partial 16S ribosomal RNA". It matches the Rfam family "Bacterial small subunit ribosomal RNA", at positions 28 to 507 of the family's 1533-position model. The record is from RNAcentral.